This 661-nucleotide long non-coding RNA is filed under the name Rattus norvegicus (Norway rat). RNAcentral's name for it is "long non-coding RNA NONRATT026626". The stretch from base 576 to 638 matches the Rfam family "tRNA". Lineage: Eukaryota; Metazoa; Chordata; Mammalia; Rodentia; Muridae. The record is from RNAcentral.
CAAUGAGUUCAAGGCUCUCUCCCACUUUCUCUUCUGUUAGAUUCAGUGUAUCUGGUUUUAUGUUGAGGUCCUUGGACCUUCAAAGAAGACCUAAUACCAAUAUUCCUCAAACUAUUCCAUAAAAUAGAGACAGAAGGAACACUACCUAAUUCAUUCUAUGAAGCCACAAUUACUGAUACCUAAACCACACAAGGACCCUACCAAACAAGAGAACUUCAGACCAAUCUCAGGAAUAUCAAUGCAAAAAUAGUCAAUAAAAUUCUUGCAAGCCAAAUUUAAGAACACAUCAAAACAAUCAUUCAUCACAAUCAAGUAGGUUUCAUCCCAAGGAUGCAAGGUUGAUUCAAUAUACGAAAAUCCAUUAAUGUAAUCCACUAUAUAGACAAAGAAAAAAAAUCACAUGAUCUUCUUAGAUGCAGAAAAAGCAUUUGAUAAGGUAUGAUAUACCUUAAUGUUAAAAGUAUUGGAGAGAUCAGGAAUUCAAGGCCCAUACCUAAACAUAGUUUGCAAACAUGGUUUUGCAAUUUACUGCAAACCAACAGCCAAUAUCAAAUUAAAAGGAGAGAUUAGGGGUUGGGGAUUUAGCUCAGUAGUAGAGCGCUUGCCUAGCAAACGCAAGGCCCUGGGUUCAGUCCCCAGCUCCGAAAAAAAAAAAAAAAAA